UGGGGAAUAUUGCGCAAUGGGCGAAAGCCUGACGCAGCAACGCCGUGUGAGGGAUGAAGGCUUUCGGGUUGUAAACCUCUGUCGGAAGGGAAGAACGGGUGAGGGUCUAAUAGGCCUUCAUUUUGACGGUACCUUUAGAGGAAGCACCGGCUAACACCGUGCCAGCAGCCGCGGUAAUACGGAGGGUGCAAGCGUUAUUCGGAAUUACUGGGCGUAAAGCGCACGUAGGCCGCUUUGUAAGUCAGGGGUGAAAUCCCACGGCUCAACCGUGGAACUGCCCUUGAAACUGCAGAGCUUGAAUCCUGGAGAGGGUGGCGGAAUUCCUGGUGUAGGAGUGAAAUCCGUAGAUAUCAGGAGGAACACCGGUGGCGAAGGCGGCCACCUGGACAGGCAUUGACGCUGAGGUGCGAAAGUGUGGGGAGCAAACAG
RNAcentral lists this ribosomal RNA (429 nucleotides) under uncultured bacterium. Its description in RNAcentral is "bacterial SSU rRNA". It matches the Rfam family "Bacterial small subunit ribosomal RNA", at positions 355 to 775 of the family's 1533-position model. The record is from RNAcentral.